AGCGUGGCUUCGCUUCCAACUUUUUUCUGAUGAUGUUUGUUUUAAACUCCGAAGCUUUUUCCCUCCAAGUGCAGCUCUGUCUCCGUGCUGUGGGCUCACACUGCUUCAGCUCUUCAAGACAGAUGACUUUUUUUUUUUAACUCCCAAGCUUUUUCCCUCCAAGUGGCUGUGCAGUUCUGUCCUGCUGACUGCUAACAUAGCUUCAUCUCUUCAAAAGACAAGACAACAGGUGUCUUUCACCAAGAUCUCUGUUGAAAUGGAAAUGACCUUACCCACUACACCAAGGGUAAUCAUACUUGGAAAUACCUUGAUGUCUGCAACCCGGUGGAUGGUCAGUAUGGAGCAGAAGGUAUUUUUCGAGCCUGAGCAACUACAUGACUUUGCCAGCGUCCUUGCUGUCUUUUUUGGGUCAAAUUCUGUCUUCAAUCUGGAGUAUCAGGAGUUGGCAUCCACCACGCUGGAGAUGAUACAACGAUUCUUUGUGAGGAUCAAUCCAGAUGUUGGUACCAAAUGCACAGCCAAAGUCGGUACAAGCCGCAAGACAGGAAGUCUUGUCAAGAGGAAAGUAGUCAGUGUCAACUCCCGGAUCACCACCUUCCUCCAACGACUCGCUGAAUUUGAAUGGAGGACUUCCAGCUAGUUCAGCUUCCACAAGAUGGAUCCCACUGAUUUUGUUUGACGAAUGGAAUAAAAGUUCUUCUGAUGUA
Long non-coding RNA from Xiphophorus couchianus (Monterrey platyfish), 707 nucleotides. RefSeq lists it as uncharacterized. Lineage: Eukaryota; Metazoa; Chordata; Actinopteri; Cyprinodontiformes; Poeciliidae. The record is from RefSeq and is a predicted model, not a curated record. The transcript has 6 exons.